RNAcentral lists this ribosomal RNA (493 nucleotides) under uncultured bacterium. Its description in RNAcentral is "partial 16S ribosomal RNA". It matches the Rfam family "Bacterial small subunit ribosomal RNA", at positions 28 to 507 of the family's 1533-position model. The record is from RNAcentral.
GACGAACGCUGGCGGCGUGCUUAACACAUGCAAGUCGAACGGUGAAGGGACCGGUUUUUGCUGGUUCUGGAUGAGUGGCGAACGGGUGAGUAACACGUGAGUAACCUGCCCCCUUCUUCUGGAUAACCGCAUGAAAGUGUGGCUAAUACGGGAUAUUCUGCGCCUGCUGCAUGGUGGGUGUGGGAAAGAUAUUGUUUCGGUGGGGGAUGGGCUCGCGGCCUAUCAGCUUGUUGGUGGGGUGAUGGCCUACCAAGGCGGUGACGGGUAGCCGGCCUGGGAGGGUGGACGGUCACACUGGGAAUGAGACACGGCCCAGACUCCUACGGGAGGCAGCAGUGGGGAAUAUUGCACAAUGGGCGCAAGCCUGAUGCAGCGACGCCGCGUGAGGGAUGGAGGCCUUCGGGUUGUAAACCUCUUUCGCCAGUGAAGCAGGCCUGUCCCUUUUGUGGGUGGGUUGACGGUAGCUGGAUAAGAAGCGCCGGCUAACUACGUG